Molecule: non-coding RNA, 380 nt
Organism: Carica papaya (papaya)
Lineage: Eukaryota; Viridiplantae; Streptophyta; Magnoliopsida; Brassicales; Caricaceae
Source: RefSeq, a predicted model, not a curated record
UCUCUCUCUCCCUCUCUCUCAACCAGGGACGCAGUCGUUAAUUUUCUUUCUCCUGCGAGAAGGAGAGGGAAAACUAGAGCUAAACGGACACUUCGGUUGGUCUAUAGUAAGUCGGCCUUUUCUGCUUCUGUUGUUCCUUUUUUCUCCAGCCAAUUUAGGGCUCGCUGCUUCCGCUCUCAAUGAGUCAAUACUGCUGAGAAGGCUAGCAAUUUGGGUUAACAGUUCCUAUAGCAGCUGAAGCAGAGACGAGCAGAUAUUUUCAGUAUUUCUAAAGUUAGAGAUGGAGGAGAAUUCAUCUUUGGCUGUUUUAGAUGGAGAAAUAGUUGGAAUUCGAUUUGGUUUGACGACCUAUGAAGAAAUUGUAAGUUGAUAUCUCUCUU